AACGAACGCUGGCGGCAUGCCUAACACAUGCAAGUCGAACGAGACCUUCGGGUCUAGUGGCGCACGGGUGCGUAACGCGUGGGAACCUGCCCUUAGGUUCGGAAUAACUCCCCGAAAGGGGUGCUAAUACCGGAUAAUGUCUUCGGACCAAAGAUUUAUGGCCUUUGGAUGGGCCCGCGUUGGAUUAGCCAGUUGGUAGGGUAAAAGCCUACCAAGGCGACGAUCCAUAGCUGGUCUGAGAGGAUGCUCAGCCACACUGGGACUGAGACACGGCCCAGACUCCUGCGGGAGGCAGCAGUGGGGAAUAUUGGGCAGUGGGCGAAAGCCUGAUCCAGCAAUGCCGCGUGAGUGAUGAAGGACUUAGGGUUGUAAAGCUCUUUUACCCGGGAUGAUAAUGACAGUACCGGGAGAAUAAGCUCCGGCUAACUCCGU
Molecule: ribosomal RNA, 432 nt
Filed under: uncultured bacterium
Lineage: Bacteria
Description: partial 16S ribosomal RNA
Rfam family: Bacterial small subunit ribosomal RNA
Source: RNAcentral